GGAGCAUAGGAGAUCAUGGCCUUUUUGACUGAUCUGAAAGCAGACAAGUCUUGCUGCAAAUGACAGUUUUUGAGUGAGUAAACAUGUUGCAAGGUGAGGUGUACAACUGGACAGAGAAGUAUCCCGUCUACUUGGUGUGCGGUGACAGCUUAUUGUGUUCUAUAACAGGCUAAGAGAUCAAAGGGGAACAUAAAUUUUACUUAAGUUCCAUGCAGCUAGUGUUCAAAUGGCAGGGUUAGCUCUCUACGAGAACUGUCAUAUUCUAACCUAUCAUCAUUAUAAGUUGCAGAUGUAAUGCAGUUCGUCUAAAAGGUUUGGCCUUGCGUACACCAAGUUUCACCUCUGAUACUUGUAAAGUAUUAUAAACUGUUGACUUGUAAUCAGUAAUCAAUGAGAUAUUAGUGACAUCGUAUUUUAUUUUCUCUUUUCAAGUAGUGCAUCUUCUUUUGAUCUUUUGAUUGUCUUUGCAAGAGUUGAAUGAAGUGAAGGAACCGGUGCAUUUUUAUUUUCGCAAGGAAAUCGAUACUCUCUUAAUGGGAAUUGUAAGGUAAAAUGCUGAGGAGCCUGUUCCCUCUGCUGAUUGUUAUUGUGUAAAAAUGUGGUGAAUCUAUAUCUUUAUGAAUUCUCAUUUAAAUUUGCUAAAGGAUCUGGUUUGUACUGAACAAAGCUAGAUCUAUCAUAAUGCCCUUUGUUGCUUCCUUUAGUUAGCUUGGUGUUUUUCAUGCCUCUUAGUUCACUGGAACUUUUUUAUUAUCCUUGAAACAGCUUGAUGACCGAGCUAUCGAUGUGGUGAUGGCUAAUAAGAAAGUGAUAGGAGUUGUGCUCGGCUUUCUUUCCUUCUUUGCCAAGGAUAUUCUUAUGAACUUAUCUGAAAAAUGAAAAAAAACAAAGCUUUGCAUCAUCUUUACCAUAGUUGUUAAGGCGUCCUUGAAGCGUCGCUUAGGCGACGCUUAGGCGGUAAGGUGUGCAGCAGUGGCAAGGCGUCCCUCUCGCCUUAGACCGUAGACUAAGACAUCAUGGCGCCUUGAGCCCUUGAAGCUUGCUAAGACAUCGAUUUGAAGACGCCUUGAAGGUCUGCAGGGAUGGGUAAAGGGCCUGCUGCAACCUGACCCGAGCACAAAGCGAGUGGGAUCUGUAGCGUUGUCGUUGGUCUGCGGCGGAUCUACAGCUGUGGGGGUGUUGGUCUCUUGGCGCCGGCGGCGCCCCUCCCCUCCGUGAGCUCUCCAGGCAGAAUAGAGGAAGGAGGGAAGAGGAGGGGGGCACGCCCAUAGCAGAUUUGGUGGCGGCGACUGGGUGCUGGCAGUGGCAGUGAGUUGAGCGUUGGCGGCGGCUGCGGGAAGAGCAUGCUGCCAUAGGGAGGGAAUGGGAGGGGAGGGGAAUAAGUGGCUG
RNAcentral lists this long non-coding RNA (1389 nucleotides) under Zea mays. RNAcentral describes it as "long non-coding RNA (ZMAY_LNC003394)". The record is from RNAcentral. Lineage: Eukaryota; Viridiplantae; Streptophyta; Magnoliopsida; Poales; Poaceae.